This 769-nucleotide ribosomal RNA is filed under the name uncultured bacterium. RNAcentral describes it as "bacterial SSU rRNA". It matches the Rfam family "Bacterial small subunit ribosomal RNA", at positions 1 to 812 of the family's 1533-position model. The record is from RNAcentral.
UUCGCCCUUAGAGUUUGAUCCUGGCUCAGAGCGAACGCUGGCGGCAGGCUUAACACAUGCAAGUCGAGCGGGCGUAGCAAUACGUCAGCGGCAGACAGGUGAGUAACGCGUGGGAACGUACCUUUUGGUUCGGAACAACACAGGGAAACUUGUGCUAAUACCGGAUAAGCCCUUACGGGGAAAGAUUUAUCGCCGAAAGAUCGGCCCGCGUCUGAUUAGCUAGUUGGUGAGGUAACGGCUCACCAAGGCGACGAUCAGUAGCUGGUCUGAGAGGAUGAUCAGCCACAUUGGGACUGAGACACGGCCCAAACUCCUACGGGAGGCAGCAGUGGGGAAUAUUGGACAAUGGGGGCAACCCUGAUCCAGCCAUGCCGCGUGAGUGAUGAAGGCCCUAGGGUUGUAAAGCUCUUUUGUGCGGGAAGAUAAUGACGGUACCGCAAGAAUAAGCCCCGGCUAACUUCGUGCCAGCAGCCGCGGUAAUACGAAGGGGGCUAGCGUUGCUCGGAAUCACUGGGCGUAAAGGGUGCGUAGGCGGAUCUUUAAGUCAGAGGUGAAAGCCUGGAGCUCAACUCCAGAACUGCCUUUGAUACUGGGGAUCUUGAGUUCGGGAGAGGUGAGUGGAACUGCGAGUGUAGAGGUGAAAUUCGUAGAUAUUCGCAAGAACACCAGUGGCGAAGGCGGCUCACUGGCCCGAUACUGACGCUGAGGCACGAAAGCGUGGGGAGCAAACAGGAUUAGAUACCCUGGUAGUCCACGCCGUAAACGAUGA